AGCUAUGGCCAUGCCACCCUGAACAAGCCCUAUCUUGCCUGAUCUCGGAAGCUAAGCAGGGUCGGGCCUGGUUAGUACUUGGAUGGGAGACCACCUAGGAAGACCAGAUGCUGUAGGUG
RNAcentral lists this ribosomal RNA (119 nucleotides) under Pteropus alecto (black flying fox). Lineage: Eukaryota; Metazoa; Chordata; Mammalia; Chiroptera; Pteropodidae. The record is from RNAcentral.